This 864-nucleotide ribosomal RNA is filed under the name uncultured archaeon. Its description in RNAcentral is "bacterial SSU rRNA". It matches the Rfam family "Archaeal small subunit ribosomal RNA", at positions 6 to 879 of the family's 1478-position model. The record is from RNAcentral.
GGUUGAUCCUGCCGGACCCGACUGCUAUCAGAGUGGGACUAAGCCAUGCGAGUCAACGUAGUAAUACGUGGCGAACGGCUCAGUAACACGUAGUCAACAUGCCCAGAGGACGUGGAUAACCUCGGGAAACUGAGGAUAAACCGCGAUAGGCCAUAAUUUCUGGAAUGGUUUAUGGCUGAAAUCUAUAUGGCCUCUGGAUUGGACUGCGGCCGAUCAGGCUGUUGGUGAGGUAAUGGCCCACCAAACCUGUAACCGGUACGGGCUCUGAGAGGAGGAGCCCGGAGAUGGGCACUGAGACAAGGGCCCAGGCCCUAUGGGGCGCAGCAGGCGCGAAAUCCCUGCAAUAGGCGAAAGCUUGACAGGGUUACUCUGAGUGAUUCCCGCUAAGGGGAUCUUUUGGCACCUCUAAAAAUGGUGCAGAAUAAGGGGUGGGCAAGUCUGGUGUCAGCCGCCGCGGUAAUACCAGCACCCCGAGUGGUCGGGACGAUUAUUGGGCCUAAAGCAUCCGUAGCCGGUACUGCAAGUCUUCCGUUAAAUCCACCUGCUCAACAGUUGGGCUGCGGAGGAUACUACAGCGCUAGGAGGCGGGAGAGGCAAGCGGUACUCAGUGGGUAGGGGUAAAAUCCACUGAUCCAUUGAAGACCACCAGUGGCGAAGGCGGCUUGCCAGAACGCGCUCGACGGUGAGGGAUGAAAGCUGGGGGAGCAAACCGGAUUAGAUACCCGGGUAGUCCCAGCUGUAAACGAUGCAGACUCGGUGAUGGGCUGGCCUUGUGCCAACCCAGUGCCGCAGGGAAGCCGUUAAGUCUGCCGCCUGGGGAGUACGGUCGCAAGACUGAAACUUAAAGGAAUUGGCGGGAAUCUC